ACUCAGCUCCCUCAGUCAGGAAGAGAACCUGGUGUCUCCCAGAGGCAUGGAAAUUAAGGCUCAAGAAGGUGACUUGCCCAAGACUUCAUAGCCCACAACUGCUGGAGGUGGGAUUUGAACUCGUCUGCGAGGUUCGAAAUCACCCCAGCCCAGUGCCUGCUCCUGACAGAGACUCAGCAAGUGCAGCUCUGCGUGUUUCCUCCAUCACAGAGGCCUGCUUAGGGGAAAAAUCUUGCUGAAGAAAAGUGGCCGAUGGUUUCGAGAGAAGAGACGCUUAUUCAUGUAAUUCUCAAGAAUCCCAUCUCCGGCUUAGAAGGACACCUUUUCUGAUUUCCCAUUCAAAGGGACUGACGUACACUCAGGGGCUGAGGCAGCAGCUGUUUUUGCUGUGCACAGACUGGAGAGCGAUGUGUGAGUGAAGUCUGUGGCCACUUCUCUCCUCCCCCGAGCCUUCUGGGGUUUGGGUUUAUGACUCCAGAGGCGGAGAAGCGUGUUCCCUUUCUGUGCGGAUCCCGUCAUUGACAGAGUCUGUUUUAGAAGAGCAUUUUUAGAUGGCAGCGAACGUUCCAGACCCCAAAGCAUUCUCUUUACAGCACCGUCUAGCUUGGGUGGGGAUAGGGUGGGUUUGUGAACACGUGUGUGCGUGAGAGUGUGAGUGUGUGCAAGUGUGUGCACGUGUGUGUCAGUCCCUCUGUCUGGCUCCCACUGCUAGCCACCUCUGUCAUAUCCUGACUAUUUCGCCGGGGCAUCGUCCAGCCAUAGGAAUCUUCAGCAAACCUACAGUUCAGACGAACGCCCUCGUUUCUGCCCUGAGAAGAAAGUCCGUUGAGUCUGAGGGCUCCCGAGUCAUUCUCUCAAGGCAUUCAUUCAGUUUUGUUUCCCCUGGUGCUACCCUCUCUGAAGUCGUUAUUACUCAUUAGGUGUAUUGCACAUACAGAAAAAGUAGGUCAAGGAUUAAAAAAAAAAAGAAAAAACAUCUCUGGGAGAAGCACAAGUAUUGUGUAAAGCUAUUUUGAACUUGCGUGAGAUUUUUCAAGGGGGAAAUGUUUUGUGCAGAGACGGCUGCUGCCACAGCUGACUUACCAAUGAAUGCCCGUGUCUGAGCCUUUCAUACGCUAACCACGUGACCUUGGAAUUCCAUUUUGAAAUGAUAAUUGUGCCCAGUGGGGUGAGCAGCCUCUCAAUCCAGGUUCUAUACAAUAUAGGUCACCUCGAGGAUCCUCAGUAGAACAGGAACAAGAGAAUCCUGAGAAAUCUCUGUAAAGAAACAGAAAGAAUGAGAGAGAAAACUGUGUGUCUAACCACCGGGCCCCUGGGCCCUAUGUGCCACCCAGGUUUGGAGCAAGGCUGCGGGGCAGAUGAUGUCCAGGAGAGCCUCAGAAAGUCCGGGCUCUAGAAAAAAAUACGUUCCAGCUCACUCUGCUCUGACCCUGCAUCUGCUCUGUGCUGAAAGCUUUGUUGCUGCCAUGAAUAUAUUUAAGGGGAAUAAAAUGUGCAGUGUCAAAGCGACUGGCUUGAAGUGGGCUGGAUGCAUCCUAGGCUCCGCGAGGGAAAAGGCCUCUAGCUGGCAGUUGACAGAAGGGGGAAGGCAGUGAGGAGUGGGCCCACCCACGGGAGUCUGGGCAUGAGGCGGGUCCUGGUUCCCAGGCUGCCCCGUGGGAAUAUGCUCCAUGGGCUGGGGCUGCUGUGCUGGCUGCUCUUGCCCCCAGGGGGUCACUACGCUGGGCUUCUCCAUCAGGGCUAUCACGAUAUUGCCCAGGGUUUACAGGUUUACAGGCAUUAUCUCACUCAGUGUUGUUUUGCUCCCUUUCACAAAGAAAGGAAGGAAAAGAGAGGCAGGGGGUGAGAGAGGAAGCCAGACUAGCAUUCAGCUCUGCUAGUUGUUCCUCGCCUGGGUUAGGCUUCCCUGGAAAGUAGCCUGCAU
Molecule: long non-coding RNA, 1924 nt
Filed under: Homo sapiens (human)
Lineage: Eukaryota; Metazoa; Chordata; Mammalia; Primates; Hominidae
Description: HSALNT0036463
Source: RNAcentral